UCAGAGGUGAAAUCCUACGGCUCAACUGUAGAACUGCCUUUGAAACUGGUAACCUUGAGUAUAAUUGAAGUGGGCGGAAUGUGUCAUGUAGCGGUGAAAUGCUUAGAUAUGCCACAGAACACCGAUUGCGAAGGCAGCUCACUAAAUUAUAACUGACGCUGAGGGACGAAAGCGUGGGUAGCGAACAGGAUUAGAUACCCUGGUAGUCCACGCCGUAAACGAUGUAUACUCGUUGCUGGGGAUACACACUCUUUGACCAAGCAAAAGUAUUAAGUAUACCACCUGGGGAGUACGCUCGCAAGAGUGAAACUCAAAUGAAUUGACGG
Molecule: ribosomal RNA, 326 nt
Filed under: uncultured bacterium
Lineage: Bacteria
Description: bacterial SSU rRNA
Rfam family: Bacterial small subunit ribosomal RNA
Source: RNAcentral